AUUCCAGCUCCAAUAGCGUAUAUUAAAGUUGUUGCAGUUAGAACGCUCGUAGUCGGAUUUCGGGGCGGUCCGACCGGUCUGCCGAUGGGUACGCACUGGUCGGAGCGUCCUUCCUGCCGGAGACCGUGCCUACUCUUAACUGAGCGGGGGCGGGAGACGGCACUUUUACUUUGAAAAAAUCAGAGUGUUUCAAGCAGGCAGCUCGCUCUUGCAUGGAUUAGCAUGGGAUAAUGAAAUAGGACUUUGGUGCUAUUUUGUUGGUUUCGAACACCGAAGUAAUGAUGAGAAGGGACAGUCAGGGGCACUCGUAUUCCGCAGAGAGAGGUGAAAUUCUCAGACCCGCGGAAGACGAACCACUGCGAAAGCAUUUGCCAGGGACGUUUUCAUCG
This 389-nucleotide ribosomal RNA is filed under the name Chrysochromulina sp. Its description in RNAcentral is "partial small subunit ribosomal RNA". It matches the Rfam family "Eukaryotic small subunit ribosomal RNA", at positions 582 to 975 of the family's 1831-position model. Lineage: Eukaryota; Haptophyta; Prymnesiales; Chrysochromulinaceae. The record is from RNAcentral.